RNAcentral lists this long non-coding RNA (338 nucleotides) under Olea europaea (common olive). RNAcentral's name for it is "long non-coding RNA (OEUR_LNC009471)". Lineage: Eukaryota; Viridiplantae; Streptophyta; Magnoliopsida; Lamiales; Oleaceae. The record is from RNAcentral.
UUGGCAAUUAGCCUUGCUUUAUAGAGAUCUAAGCUUCCAUCCAGUUUUAUUUUGAAAGUGAAGAUCCACUUACAGCAAAUUGGUCAUUUCCUCUGUGGUAAAUCAGUUAGCUCCUGAUAGGACCCUGCGAUUGCUGAGAUUUUCUAAGGAUGAAUAAUGAUGUUAUUGCUCGACUGAUUACCCUGCAAAGCUGUUAACCAGAUUACUUCAACUGGAGAUAACUGAAUAUAUGAAAUGGAAUAUAAAUUGUUUAUUGAUGGGAAAAGAAAGACACUAGGAUUGAACAAAUGAUACCGAAUGAAAUACAAGAUACUCCCAGGCACUUCGAGAGGCCCAAC